Molecule: long non-coding RNA, 295 nt
Organism: Heterocephalus glaber (naked mole-rat)
Lineage: Eukaryota; Metazoa; Chordata; Mammalia; Rodentia; Bathyergidae
Source: Ensembl
GGCACCUUUGGGAGAGCACGGUGCCCCAGGAGCCACCCGGCCUCUGCCUUCCCGUCUUCCCUCUGAGCCUGGCUGUGCCAGCUGCCUUGCUGGCCUUGGUGCUCUGUAGAAGUGGGGCCGCAGCCUCGGCCGGGAGUGCUGUGUCUGGUGACAGCCGCCUUUCUGCUCCUGGCCCCGUGCUGGCCUGCUAAAGGACUGAUGUCACAUCUGUGCUUGGACCAGGCCCUUCAGCCAGCUCUGGAGGAGUGAAGUAGGUCACACCUUCCCGCCCAUCCGCCAUGCCAGCCUGAAUCGC